Molecule: ribosomal RNA, 567 nt
Filed under: uncultured bacterium
Lineage: Bacteria
Description: bacterial SSU rRNA
Rfam family: Bacterial small subunit ribosomal RNA
Source: RNAcentral
CCUACGGGAGGCAGCAGUGGGGAAUUUUCCGCAAUGGGCGAAAGCCUGACGGAGCAAUACCGCGUGAGGGAAGAAAGCCUACUGGGUUGUAAACCUCUUUUUUCAGGGAGGAAAAAAAUGACGUGUACCUGAAGAAUAAGCAUCGGCUAACUCCGUGCCAGCAGCCGCGGUAAGACGGAGGAUGCAAGUGUUAUCCGGAAUUACUGGGCGUAAAGCGUCUGUAGGUGGUUUAAUAAGUCAACUGUUAAAUCUUGAGGCUUAACUUCAAAACAGCAGUCGAAACUAUUAGACUAGAGUAUAGUAGGGGUAAAGGGAAUUUCCAGUGGAGCGGUGAAAUGCGUAGAUAUUGGAAAGAACACCGAUGGCGAAAGCACUUUACUGGGCUAUUACUAACACUCAGAGACGAAAGCUAGGGUAGCAAAUGGGAUUAGAUACCCCAGUAGUCCUAGCUGUAAACAAUGGAUACUAGAUGUUGAACAGAUCGACCUGUGCAGUAUUAAAGCUAACGCGUUAAGUAUCCCGCCUGGGAAGUAUGCUCGCAAGAGUGAAACUCAAAUGAAUUGACGG